AAUACCACCCUUUAAUGUUUGAUGUUCUAACGUGGACCCGUAAUCCGGGUUGCGGACAGUGUCUGGUGGGUAGUUUGACUGGGGCGGUCUCCUCCUAAAGAGUAACGGAGGAGCACGAAGGUUGGCUAAUCCUGGUCGGACAUCAGGAGGUUAGUGCAAUGGCAUAAGCCAGCUUGACUGCGAGCGUGACGGCGCGAGCAGGUGCGAAAGCAGGUCAUAGUGAUCCGGUGGUUCUGAAUGGAAGGGCCAUCGCUCAACGGAUAAAAGGUACUCCGGGGAUAACAGGCUGAUACCGCCCAAGAGUUCAUAUCGACGGCGGUGUUUGGCACCUCGAUGUCGGCUCAUCACAUCCUGGGGCUGAAGUAGGUCCCAAGGGUAUGGCUGUUCGCCAUUUAAAGUGGUACGCGAGCUGGGUUUAGAACGUCGUGAGACAGUUCGGUCCCUAUCUGCCGUGGGCGCUGGAGAACUGAGGGGGGCUGCUCCUAGUACGAGAGGACCGGAGUGGACGCAUCACUGGUGUUCGGGUUGUCAUGCCAAUGGCACUGCCCGGUAGCUAAAUGCGGAAGAGAUAAGUGCUGAAAGCAUCUAAGCACGAAACUUGCCCCGAGAUGAGUUCUCCCUGAGACUUAG
This 630-nucleotide ribosomal RNA is filed under the name Salmonella enterica subsp. enterica serovar Typhimurium. RNAcentral's name for it is "partial 23S ribosomal RNA". It matches the Rfam family "Bacterial large subunit ribosomal RNA", at positions 2196 to 2824 of the family's 2925-position model. The record is from RNAcentral. Lineage: Bacteria; Pseudomonadati; Pseudomonadota; Gammaproteobacteria; Enterobacterales; Enterobacteriaceae.